RNAcentral lists this ribosomal RNA (379 nucleotides) under Deltaproteobacteria bacterium. RNAcentral's name for it is "bacterial SSU rRNA". It matches the Rfam family "Bacterial small subunit ribosomal RNA", at positions 1 to 359 of the family's 1533-position model. The record is from RNAcentral. Lineage: Bacteria; Pseudomonadati; Myxococcota; Myxococcia.
UACACGGAGAGUUUGAUCCUAGCUCAGAAUGAACGCUGGCGGCGUGCCUAACACAUGCAAGUCGUACGAUAAGGAAGACUUCGGUCUUCUGGACAGUGGCGCACGGGUGAGUAACGCGUGGGUAACCUACCCUUCUGUUCGGAAUAACGCCUCGAAAGGGGUGCUAAUACCAAAUAUGACCACGGAAACUUCGGUUUCUGAGGUAAAAGGUGGCGAAUCUUCGGAUGCUAUCGCAGAGGGACGGGCCCGCGUGACAUUACGAUUGAUGGUGGGGUAAUGGCCUACCAUAUUGUCUACGAUGUCUAGCUGGUCUGAGAGGAUGAUCAGCCACACUGGGACUGGAACACGGCCCAGACUCCUACGGGAGGCAGCAGUGAGG